Molecule: ribosomal RNA, 440 nt
Filed under: uncultured bacterium
Lineage: Bacteria
Description: partial 16S ribosomal RNA
Rfam family: Bacterial small subunit ribosomal RNA
Source: RNAcentral
CCUACGGGUGGCAGCAGUGGGGAAUAUUGCACAAUGGGGGAAACCCUGAUGCAGCGACGCCGCGUGAGUGAAGAAGUAUUUCGGUAUGUAAAGCUCUAUCAGCAGGGAAGAAAAUGACGGUACCUGAUUAAGAAGCCGCGGCUAACUACGUGCCAGCAGCCGCGGUAGUACGUAGGGGGCAAGCGUUAUCCGGAUUUACUGGGUGUAAAGGGAGCGUAGACGGCAGCACAAGUCUGGAGUGAAAGGCCGGGGCCCAACCCCGGGACUGCUCUGGAAACUGCCUGGCUGGAGUACAGGAGAGGUAAGUGGAAUUCCUAGUGUAGCGGUGAAAUGCGUAGAUAUUAGGAGGAACACCAGUGGCGAAGGCGGCCUACUGGACUGUAACUGACGUUGAGGCUCGAAAGCGUGGGGAGCAAACAGGAUUAGAUACCCGGGUAGUC